AAAAAAGUUCUGCUUCUUCACUUCUUUUCAGCAGAAUUUUCAGUUUCUUUAAUGCCAUACAAUUUUUUGCAGCUUUUCAUCUUUUUCAGUCAUUUUCAGCAGACAGCUUCAGCGUUCCGGCAUCCACACAGCAUUUUCGCAGGAAAUGCAAACUUUUUCUAGUUCCUAAUAUGUCACAGGUGAACUUUGACAACUACCGAGCCAUUUUAUCCUUUGUGAACAUUGGAAAUGUACACUGGAAGUUUCUGUACAUAAAUGCAGAUGACAGCUGUCUGUAUUUGGUCGAUCCUUCAAGAAACUCUUUGGAGCAGGAAGAGUCUGACCGUGCAGCCAAAAGAUUCCGUGAAUACUUCAAAAUGAGAAGGACAUGCUACAACAAAACAGACUGGGUGAAUGUGAGACUUCGAGGAGGAGUACUGACACAUCCAUUUCAACGGGAUGGUUCUAGCUGCGGAGUAAUGGUCAUCAUGAUGGCCAAAGCAGUAAUGGAAGCAUUCCCAAAUAAACCAGAAAUGACAUUUUUGACGACAAAAAAAGAGAUGGCCCAGGCACGAAGGACAUUUGCACAGACAAUACUUGAGGCCUCAGUAUUUGACAGUGACACCAACUGUGCCAUGUGUGCAACAGCGAAACCACCCAAUCCAGGACCCUCCAUCACUGACUGGAUUCAGUGUGAUAACUGCAACUGCUGGUUCCAUUCUGAAUACCUGGACAUGACAAAUGAACAGCUCAGCAGCGCUCAGAAGACAGAGUGGAAGUGUGUGCUUUGUGUAACCUAAUUCCACAUGCAGUGAAAGCUACUAGAAUAAUCUGCUUAUAGUUAUUAUUGGUGUUUUGAGGAACACAUGUGUAAAACACAAUAUGUAUAACAUUCUUGCUUUGAGCACGUAUUUUAAGUAUUUCCUUUUUGAUUUUUUGGGUUGAUUUGUGUGAUGACAGAUAAUGAAUAACAAUAUAUCAAAACUGUAUAAUAGUAAUCUGAGAAAUCUGUAAUAUGAGAAAUGUAAUUUCUCACCCCGACCGGUCACAGCAGAUGGCCGCCCCUCCCUGAGCCUGGUUCUGCUGGAGGUUUCUUCCUGUUAGAAGGGAGUUUUU
Molecule: long non-coding RNA, 1095 nt
Organism: Oreochromis aureus
Lineage: Eukaryota; Metazoa; Chordata; Actinopteri; Cichliformes; Cichlidae
Source: Ensembl